Molecule: microRNA, 20 nt
Filed under: Echinococcus granulosus
Lineage: Eukaryota; Metazoa; Platyhelminthes; Cestoda; Cyclophyllidea; Taeniidae
Description: egr-miR-10285-3p
Source: miRBase by way of RNAcentral
GUCCUUUGUGGUCCAUUUGU